This 498-nucleotide ribosomal RNA is filed under the name uncultured bacterium. RNAcentral describes it as "partial 16S ribosomal RNA". It matches the Rfam family "Bacterial small subunit ribosomal RNA", at positions 30 to 523 of the family's 1533-position model. The record is from RNAcentral.
AUUGAACGCUGGCGGCAUGCCUUACACAUGCAAGUCGAACGGUAACAGGUCUUCGGAUGCUGACGAGUGGCGAACGGGUGAGUAAUACAUCGGAACGUGCCUAGUAGUGGGGGAUAACUACUCGAAAGAGUGGCUAAUACCGCAUGAGAUCUACGGAUGAAAGCAGGGGAUCGCAAGACCUUGUGCUACUAGAGCGGCCGAUGGCAGAUUAGGUAGUUGGUGGGAUAAAAGCUUAUCAAGCCGACGAUCUGUAGCUGGUCUGAGAGGACGAUCAGCCACACUGGGACUGAGACACGGCCCAGACUCCUACGGGAGGCAGCAGUGGGGAAGUUUGGACAAUGGGCGCAAGCCUGAUCCAGCAAUGCCGCGUGCAGGAUGAAGGCCUUCGGGUUGUAAACUGCUUUUGUACGGAACGAAAAGCCCCGGGUUAAUACCCUGGGGUCAUGACGGUACCGUAAGAAUAAGCACCGGCUAACUACGUGCCAGCAGCCGCGGUAA